GGACCAUAGCUCACUGUCAGAGCAGCUGCUUUGCAUGCAGAAGGUCCCAGGUUCAAUCCCUGGCAUCUCCA
Molecule: non-coding RNA, 71 nt
Organism: Podarcis lilfordi (Lilford's wall lizard)
Lineage: Eukaryota; Metazoa; Chordata; Lepidosauria; Squamata; Lacertidae
Source: the annotation of a GenBank genome assembly